Molecule: long non-coding RNA, 851 nt
Organism: Raphanus sativus (radish)
Lineage: Eukaryota; Viridiplantae; Streptophyta; Magnoliopsida; Brassicales; Brassicaceae
Exons: 2
Source: RefSeq, a predicted model, not a curated record
ACACACACACAGAAAAGUUUCUCUCUCUCCAGAACUCGCUCAAGUAAACCACCUAUCCCUCCAGUGUCUGGUGGCUCUUCCGCCGCCGUCGCCGGCGGUGUUUCUCUUCUCCCCUCUCGUUUUCCUCAUUUGCCUCUUUAUUCUCCCCUGUUUUUCUCACUGAUAUACUUACCCCUGGAUACACCGACGGAUCUUCAAGCUUUAUACUCUGGCCAAGUGGUGGGUUUCUUCUGAAGGAGGUGUUUCUGGUGUUCCGGUGAGGCGAGAAAGCAGGGGAGCAAAGGAGGUCGGCUUUUUGGGCGGCCAGAUUAGGCUUCGUGACGGUUAGUCUCCCUCCUGAUGGUUUCUCGGUGAUUGGAUUGUCUGUGUUCAUCCGCCGGUGUCCAGAUAGCUCCUCCUCUCUUUCCUUUUCCUCCUCGCGGUUCUGUGUCGAUGCAGGUCAUUUGGCCCUCUCGGCAAGGUUUCUUGGUACCCGUCUCCUCUACUAGAAUGGUUCCCUUUCAGCCCGUUGUUAUUGCGUGGUGAGGUCUGGAGUUCCUGUGCUCGUCUCCGGUGGUCUCAGGUACGGUUCUCCUUACCAUUCAUCCGCCUUCCCAAAGCUUUAAAGUGUAGCAAGACCAGCAGAGAAGGCGAAUGGGAUGUUUUAAUUCCUUAUCCGGAUUAGUCGACCAAGCAAUGUGACAAAGUCUGAUCCGGAGCUGUUACCCGACGGCUUGGCUGUGUAUCUUACGGAGUUUAAGCUUGCAAGGUCAUAUGUCUGUGCCGCUUUUAUUCAAAUUCUCUGCUGUAAUCUUGUAACUUAUGCCCAAUUCGGGAUUAUGAAAUAAUAAUAAAAAAAGAACCAUUCCAAA